RNAcentral lists this ribosomal RNA (375 nucleotides) under uncultured bacterium. RNAcentral describes it as "bacterial SSU rRNA". It matches the Rfam family "Bacterial small subunit ribosomal RNA", at positions 44 to 446 of the family's 1533-position model. The record is from RNAcentral.
AUGGCCUUACACAUGCAAGUCGCACGGACAGCAAUGGCAGUGGCGGACGGGUGAGUAACACGUAGGAAUCUAUCCUGGGGUGGGGGACACAGCGGGAAACGCUGCUAAUACCGCAUGAUACCUGAGGGUCAAAGGCGCAAGUCGCCUUGGGAGGAGCCUGCGUCUGAUUAGCUUGUUGGUGGGGUAAAGGCCUACCAAGGCGACGAUCAGUAGCUGGUCUGAGAGGAUGAUCAGCCCAUUUGGGGACUGAAACCCGGCCCAAACUCCUUACGGGAAGGCAACAAUGGGAAUAUUGGAUCAUGGGGGCAACCCCUGAUCUAAAAUUCCCCGUGGUGAAGAAAGUCUUCCGAAUUGUAAACACUUUUUGGCAGGACC